This is a long non-coding RNA of Sardina pilchardus (European sardine), 515 nucleotides long. RefSeq lists it as uncharacterized. The transcript is spliced from 2 exons. NCBI's taxonomy places the organism in Eukaryota, Metazoa, Chordata, Actinopteri, Clupeiformes, Clupeidae. The record is from RefSeq and is a predicted model, not a curated record.
CAUCAGGAGAUGGCUCAGGAGGAAGAGACCACAGGGUGCUGUUUCUUCAAGAUGCCCAAAUUCAAGUUCUCCUUCAAGGUACAGUUCAGUUUAUGUAACGGGUCACUGUAAUGUGUCUAUUAUGUGGACUAAUUGUGAUCUGACAGACUAGUGAGUGAAGGACAAAUCCGUUCAGACUGAUGUGAGUAUGCAGAUUUAAUAUUUCUUCAUUAAUCAAUUUCUGAAUUUGAACUAAUCGUUUUCUUUCUUCAUCAGAAAAUAAUGAGAGGAGCUAAAGUUGGGCAUUACCACAACGUUACCUCAUUUGAAGAGCAGAACGGUAAUGUGCCAGCCUGUGAGACUCAGCUGAAGGAGGAGCCCUCUGCUGAGUUGGAUGCUUCUGAGGGUCUCACUAAACAGAAUUAGAUUGCAUCUGGACUUGCCAACACAUCAUGUCCAGAGAAGGGACUUCCUGACUUAAGUCACUUACAGAACUUACAGAAGUGAUCAUAGUUCAUUAAAUACAUUUCAUCAAA